Neofelis nebulosa (Clouded leopard) is the source of this 1706-nucleotide long non-coding RNA. RefSeq lists it as uncharacterized. Lineage: Eukaryota; Metazoa; Chordata; Mammalia; Carnivora; Felidae. The transcript is spliced from 3 exons. The record is from RefSeq and is a predicted model, not a curated record.
GGUGGGUUACUUUCUCCCUUAGGAAGUUCACGACCAAGGUGGAUCUCCACUGUGCAACAGAGUUCCUAAUAACGUAAACCACCAGCUGACCAGAUUGGCUAAGUGGUGUCCUGUCCCUACCUGGCUUGAUUACCAAACUAGCUGGAUGUUUAGGAGGGAGGUAUAUGUGUUUCUUUCCAGAAAACUCCUAUGCAGAGCACAGCCAGAUUGGCCUCAAAAGUGAGCUGACAAGCCAGAAACACUGGGUUUAUUAUACUUCGGAGUUGUUCCUUAAAUGAUAACCAUGACUAACAGGCAUCAGUUGGCUUUUUCUGGUUUACCUGAAAAGCAAAUGGUAUAUUAAGCUUAACUUUGUUGUAUUUUUCUUCUUACGCUAGAGAUUUAAGCUCCUUCAUUUCUGGUCUAUUAUUUUUUAAAUACCAAUCAAUCUAUCUGUUUUUGCUUGAAACUUGAUUUCUUCAAGUACACUCAUUCAGCAGGUAUAUAUUGUGUGUCUUCAUAUGAGUGAGCGAGUCUAGGUGUGUGGGUGUAAGAGAGACAGAAGGAGGGGGGCGGUGGGGAGUAUGCAAGGGAGAGAGAGGAUGAGCACAGCUUCCUUUCAGGAGCCCUGUAUCCAGAAAUGAAAACCAUGAAUGGGCUCUAGUGCAUGAAACUGAGGUUCAAUCGGAUUAGGAAAAGAUACUCUAAAAACACUGAAAGGCUCUGUCGCCAGGCACACUGCUGGCUGGAGAAUGUGGAACAAAGAUAAAAUUGUCAGAACAUCCUGUCUCCACCUACACCAGGAAGGUCAAGUCUAAGAUGUUUGUCCAAGGGCUCAGGCAAUCAGAAGAUUGGAAGCAACAUAUUAAUAAGAGAACAUGCCCCGAAGCUCUGGCCCAUGAAAAAAGCUCCUGAAUCACAAUGUAGCCACAACCUGAAGUUCACCAUGGACAGAAAGAACCAGCUAUGCCUGCCACCUGAAAAAGAUGGAUGCUUCUUGAGAGCUAAGUGACCAAAGUGACCAGCAGAAUGUCUCGCCCUGAAGAAAAAGGUUCUUUUAGAGGCCUGCCAGAAAGGAGGUAGUGAUAUUGACAUGCACUGCACAGAAUCUUUUCCUGUGUAAUUCAUAACCUGAUCAAGUUGGACAUGGAAACCUUUUCAGCAUGGCUGUGUUAAUGUUUAAGGAGAUCCUUCUUGGCAUCUGAAUCUUUCUUAAAGUGUUGCAACCUGUUGGACUCUCCUUAGCAAAGUUAAAAUAGGGAAAUUUGUUUUUGACUUCUGUUUUUCAUUUCAUUCUCAGAGCAUAGUCCAUAGCACAGGUGAUUGAUUCAAAAUGGAUUUGAGGGUGACAAAGUAACCACUACAGGUGGGAUGCAGGAGAAGACAGUGAAGACGACGGAGGAGAAGAAAUGAUAUGGGGCAGACAAGAGGGCACUGGAAGAUUAACAGAUACUACUGAUGCUCUUACAAAAUCGUUCUGGGAAAAAAGUUAGAAAAUGUCUCCGUGCAUACAGUGUAAUACAGAUUAAGUAAUUUAUGAUCUGAAUGUCUGCAGAGAAGGAUGACUUUUUUUAUUUUUCUGAUAAGAAUUAUAUAGGUGUAUGCAAAUGAAUACAGGUAAAACUGUAAAAAUAUACACACAUUCAUGGAUAUGCCAUUGUGUGUGCAUCUGGGUGCACAAACAUGCAUAUGUGCACCUUAAAUAAAUGAAUCCAUGUGCAAAAGAA